GGCCUAAUGGCCCAAUGGCAAGGCGCUUGACUACGAUUUAGUUCGAUAUCAAGAGAUUCCAGGUUCGACCCCUGGUUAGGUCA
This 83-nucleotide transfer RNA is filed under the name Bipolaris zeicola 26-R-13. It matches the Rfam family "tRNA". From Rfam's summary of the family: Transfer RNA (tRNA) molecules are approximately 80 nucleotides in length. Their secondary structure includes four short double-helical elements and three loops (D, anti-codon, and T loops). Further hydrogen bonds mediate the characteristic L-shaped molecular structure. tRNAs have two regions of fundamental functional importance: the anti-codon, which is responsible for specific mRNA codon recognition, and the 3' end, to which the tRNAs corresponding amino acid is attached (by aminoacyl-tRNA synthetases). tRNAs cope with the degeneracy of the genetic code in two manners: having more than one tRNA (with a specific anti-codon) for a particular amino acid; and 'wobble' base-pairing, i.e. permitting non-standard base-pairing at the 3rd anti-codon position. Lineage: Eukaryota; Fungi; Ascomycota; Dothideomycetes; Pleosporales; Pleosporaceae. The record is from Rfam by way of RNAcentral.